AAGAUUAAAAAUUAUUGCUUCUAAAAGGAAUGAAAAUAAUCAGUUGCUUCAGGUAUACGACCCAUCAAUUUCCCACAAAAAAACUAAUUUCUUAUUGGUAUUAUCAAGUGGUAUUACAUAAGUGAUAGCACUAAGACUAGAUUUCUUUCUGCAGCAGUCCAUGCUGUUGCUACAAUCAUUUUACUCUUGUUUAUACCCAAAGGUCCAGAUUGUGCAUAUUACCAAAAUAGAUAUCAAGCUGUUUUUGAGUUAUAUUGAGUUCAAUCAUUUUCUUCCAGGUUUGAUCCUUUUGAUCUUUAUCUCAAGGUGAAAAAAUUACAAAGCCAACGAAUAUGAUUGUAAAUAUUCCAAAAAUGUAGUGAAGCCAAAACCAUGAGUUUGCAGCUCUACAUUUGGAAGCUUUAUUUUCAUAACCAUGCUUAGUUGGCUUAAUAAUAACCAGUACAUAUUUGCAGGUGGCAUUUCUUCAUCUUUUUUUUUUUGUACCUUUGUUUACUUGUAUAAUUAAUCGUGAAUAUAAUCAUGGUUGAUGAGUU
RNAcentral lists this long non-coding RNA (536 nucleotides) under Phoenix dactylifera (date palm). RNAcentral describes it as "long non-coding RNA (PDAC_LNC002095)". The record is from RNAcentral. Lineage: Eukaryota; Viridiplantae; Streptophyta; Magnoliopsida; Arecales; Arecaceae.